This 406-nucleotide ribosomal RNA is filed under the name uncultured bacterium. Its description in RNAcentral is "partial 16S ribosomal RNA". It matches the Rfam family "Bacterial small subunit ribosomal RNA", at positions 30 to 526 of the family's 1533-position model. The record is from RNAcentral.
AUUGAACGCUGGCGGCAGGCCUAACACAUGCAAGUCGAGCGAGCGGCGGACGGGUGAGUUAUGUCUGGGAAACCGUCCGAUGGAGGGGGACAAUUAGUGGAAACGGUAGCUAAUACCGAAUACCAUCAGAUGUGUCUAGUUGGGAUUGGCUAGUUGGGGGGGGAAUGGCUCACCUAGGCGACGAUCCCUAGCCGGUCUGAGGGGAUGACCAACCACUCUGGGACUAGGACACGGUCCAAACUCCUACGGGAGGCAGCGGUGGGGAUUAUUGGACAAUGAGCACAAGCCUAAUGCGGCCAUGCCGCGUGUGUGAGGAGGGCCUUCGGGUUGUAAAGCACUUUAAGCGGGGAAGCGUUACUCGCAGAAGAAGCACCGGCUAACUCCGUGCCAGCAGCCGCGGUAAUAC